RNAcentral lists this non-coding RNA (25 nucleotides) under Mus musculus (house mouse). Lineage: Eukaryota; Metazoa; Chordata; Mammalia; Rodentia; Muridae. The record is from RNAcentral.
UGAUGACUGUCACCUCUCUUUACUG